AUGAACGCUGGCGGCGUGCCUAAUACAUGCAAGUUGAGCGAACAGACGAGGAGCUUGCUCCUCUGACGUUAGCGGCGGACGGGUGAGUAACACGUGGAUAACCUACCUAUAAGACUGGGAUAACUUCGGGAAACCGGAGCUAAUACCGGAUAAUAUAUUGAACCGCAUGGUUCAAUAGUGACAGACGGUUUUGCUGUCACUUAUAGAUGGAUCCGCGCCGCAUUAGCUAGUUGGUAAGGUAACGGCUUACCAAGGCAACGAUGCGUAGCCGACCUGAGAGGGUGAUAGGCCACACUGGAACUGAGACAAGGUCCAGACUCCUAAGGGAGGCAGCAGUAGGGAAUCUUCCGAAAUGGGCGAAAGCCUGACGGAGCAACGCCGCGUGAGUGAUGAAGGUCCUCGGAUCGUAAAACUCUGUUAUGAGGGAAGAACAAAUGUGUAAGUAACUAUGCACGUCUUGACGGUACCUAAUCAGAAAGCCACGGCUAACUACGUG
This 496-nucleotide ribosomal RNA is filed under the name uncultured bacterium. Its description in RNAcentral is "partial 16S ribosomal RNA". It matches the Rfam family "Bacterial small subunit ribosomal RNA", at positions 29 to 507 of the family's 1533-position model. The record is from RNAcentral.